RNAcentral lists this ribosomal RNA (252 nucleotides) under uncultured bacterium. Its description in RNAcentral is "partial 16S ribosomal RNA". It matches the Rfam family "Bacterial small subunit ribosomal RNA", at positions 524 to 776 of the family's 1533-position model. The record is from RNAcentral.
UACGGAGGAUGCGAGCGUUAUCCGGAUUUAUUGGGUUUAAAGGGUGCGCAGGCGGCGUGUCAAGUCAGCGGUAAAAUGUCGGGGCUCAACCCCGGCCGGCCGUUGAAACUGGCGUGCUCAAGUUGGAGAGAAGUAUGCGGAAUUCGUGGUGUAGCGGUGAAAUGCAUAGAUAUCACGAAGAACCCCGAUUGCGAAGGCAGCAUACCGGCUCCACACUGACGCUGAGGCACGAAAGCGUGGGUAUCGAACAGG